GCGGGCGUAGCCAAGUCCGGUAAGGCACGAGACUUCCAAUCUUGCAUUUCGUGGGUUCAAAUCCCACCGCCCGCUCCA
Molecule: transfer RNA, 78 nt
Filed under: Patescibacteria group bacterium
Lineage: Bacteria
Description: tRNA-Gly
Rfam family: tRNA
About the family: Transfer RNA (tRNA) molecules are approximately 80 nucleotides in length. Their secondary structure includes four short double-helical elements and three loops (D, anti-codon, and T loops).
Source: RNAcentral